CUUGUUGAUGAUUAGUGAGAACAAAGUUUGAGUGUAUAGAACACAAGGAGGAAGUUUGAAAGGCUAAUGGAACUUCAUCUCCAAGCCAGAACCAUCAAAGAUAGAUUUUUGGUAAGUACAAAAGCAAAGUGGAGUAGUGAGCGCUGGAGUCUACUUGUGGAUAUGUACA
This is a long non-coding RNA of Humulus lupulus (European hop), 169 nucleotides long. RefSeq lists it as uncharacterized. The transcript has 3 exons. The record is from RefSeq and is a predicted model, not a curated record. NCBI's taxonomy places the organism in Eukaryota, Viridiplantae, Streptophyta, Magnoliopsida, Rosales, Cannabaceae.